CGGGAAUUUUGGGCAAUGGGCGAAAGCCUGACCCAGCAACGCCGCGUGAGGGAUGAAGUAUUUCGGUAUGUAAACCUCGAAAGAAUGGGAAGAAUAAAUGACGGUACCAUUUAUAAGCUCCGGCUAACUACGUGCCAGCAGCCGCGGUAAUACGUAGGGAGCAAGCGUUGUUCGGAUUUACUGGGCGUAAAGGGCGCGUAGGCGGCGCGGGAAGUCACUUGUGAAAUCUCUGAGCUUAACUCAGAACGGCCAAGUGAUACUGCUGUGCUAGAGUGCGGAAGAGGCAACCGGAAUGCUUGGUGUAGCGGUGAAAGGCGUAGAUAUCAAGAGGAACACCUGAGGCGAAGGCGGGUUGCUGGGCCGACACUGACGCUGAUGCGCGA
RNAcentral lists this ribosomal RNA (383 nucleotides) under uncultured bacterium. RNAcentral's name for it is "bacterial SSU rRNA". It matches the Rfam family "Bacterial small subunit ribosomal RNA", at positions 356 to 756 of the family's 1533-position model. The record is from RNAcentral.